This 1435-nucleotide ribosomal RNA is filed under the name uncultured marine bacterium. Its description in RNAcentral is "bacterial SSU rRNA". It matches the Rfam family "Bacterial small subunit ribosomal RNA". The record is from RNAcentral.
GAGUUUGAUCAUGGCUCAGAACGUACGCUGGCGGCACGCCUAACACAUGCAAGUCGAACGAAGUAGCAAUACUUAGUGGCAGACGGGUGAGUAACAUGUGGGUAUCUGCCCUUUGGCCUGGAAUAACACGAGGAAACUUGUGCUAAUACCGGAUAAGUCUUUACGGAGAAAGCUUUAUGCACCAUUGGAUGAGCCUGCACUUGAUUAGUUUGUUGGUGGGGUAAUGGCCUACCAAGACUGUGAUCAAUAGCUGAUUUGAGAGGAUGAUCAGCCACAUUGGGACUGAGACACGGCCCAAACUCCUACGGGAGGCAGCAGUGGGGAAUCUUGCACAAUGGAGGAAACUCUGAUGCAGCGAUGCCGCGUGAGUGAAGAAGGCCCUUGGGUUGUAAAGCUCUUUCGUCGGGGAAGAAAAUGACUGUACCCGAAUAAGAAGGUCCGGCUAACUUCGUGCCAGCAGCCGCGGUAAUACGAAGGGACCUAGCGUAGUUCGGAAUUACUGGGCUUAAAGAGUUCGUAGGUGGUUGAAAAAGUUAGUGGUGAAAUCCCAGAGCUUAACUCUGGAACUGCCAUUAAAACUUUUCAGCUAGAGUAUGAUAGAGGAAAGCAGAAUUUCUAGUGUAGAGGUGAAAUUCGUAGAUAUUAGAAAGAAUACCAAUUGCGAAGGCAGCUUUCUGGAUCAUUACUGACACUGAGGAACGAAAGCAUGGGUAGCGAAGAGGAUUAGAUACCCUCGUAGUCCAUGCCGUAAACGAUGUGUGUUAGACGUUGGAAAUUUAUUUUCAGUGUCGCAGGGAAACCGAUAAACACACCGCCUGGGGAGUACGACCGCAAGGUUAAAACUCAAAUGAAUUGACGGGGACCCGCACAAGUAGUGGAGCAUGUGGUUUAAUUCGAAGAUACGCGCAGAACCUUACCAACACUUGACAUGUUCGUCGCGACUCUAAGAGAUUAGAGUUUUCGGUUCGGCCGGACGAAACACAGGUGCUGCAUGGCUGUCGUCAGCUCGUGUCGUGAGAUGUUGGGUUAAGUCCCGCAACGAGCGCAACCCUCACUUUUAGUUGCCAUCAUUAAGUUGGGCACUCUGAAAGAACUGCCAGUGAUAAGCUGGAGGAAGGUGGGGAUGACGUCAAGUCCUCAUGGCCCUUACGUGUUGGGCUACACACGUGCUACAAUGGUAUUUACAACAGGAAGCAAGACUGCGAAGUUAAGCAAAUCCCUAAAAGAUACCUCAGUUCGGAUUGCACUCUGCAACUCGAGUGCAUGAAGCUGGAAUUACUAGUAAUCGUGGAUCAGCGUGCCACGGUGAAUGCGUUCCCGGGUCUUGUACACACCGCCCGUCACACCAUGGGAGUUGGUUCUACCUUAAGGCAAGGUUUCAAACCCUUGACCACGGUAUAGUCAGCGACUGGGGUGAAGUCGUAACAAGGUAACC